This is a non-coding RNA of Podarcis lilfordi (Lilford's wall lizard), 81 nucleotides long. The record is from the annotation of a GenBank genome assembly. NCBI's taxonomy places the organism in Eukaryota, Metazoa, Chordata, Lepidosauria, Squamata, Lacertidae.
GCCUGUGUAGAGAGAUAGCUCAGUCGGUAGAGCUUACGACUCUUAAUCUCAGGGUUGUGGGUUCGAGUUCCACUUUGGGCA